RNAcentral lists this transfer RNA (95 nucleotides) under Actinokineospora sp. NBRC 105648. RNAcentral's name for it is "tRNA-Thr". Lineage: Bacteria; Bacillati; Actinomycetota; Actinomycetes; Pseudonocardiales; Pseudonocardiaceae. The record is from RNAcentral.
GCGGCGGUGGCUCGGGUGAACCAGGUGGCCUCGGGGGUGCCGGGGUCGACGGUGAUCUUCGUGGCGGUGCUGGUGUUGGGCUCUUCGUCGCCGCG